AGCGAACGCUGGCGGCAGGCUUAACACAUGCAAGUCGAGCGGGCACUUUCGGGUGUCAGCGGCGGACGGGUGAGUAACGCGUGGGAACGUGCCCUCUGGUUCGGAAUAACUCAGGGAAACUUGAGCUAAUACCGGAUACGCCCUUUUGGGGAAAGGCUUGCUGCCGGAGGAUCGGCCCGCGUCUGAUUCGCUAGUUGGUGAGGUAACGGCUCACCAAGGCGACGAUCAGUAGCUGGUCUGAGAGGAUGAUCAGCCACCAUGGGACUGAGACACGGCCCAGACUCCUACGGGAGGCAGCAGUGGGGAAUAUUGGACGAUGGGCGCAAGCCUGAUCCAGCCAUGCCGCGUGAGGGAUGAAGGCGUUAUGGUUGUAAAGCUCUUUUAUCCGGGACGAUAAUGACGGUACCGGAGGAAUAAGCCCCGGCUAACUUCGUG
RNAcentral lists this ribosomal RNA (435 nucleotides) under uncultured bacterium. RNAcentral's name for it is "partial 16S ribosomal RNA". It matches the Rfam family "Bacterial small subunit ribosomal RNA", at positions 29 to 507 of the family's 1533-position model. The record is from RNAcentral.